This 301-nucleotide ribosomal RNA is filed under the name uncultured bacterium. Its description in RNAcentral is "partial 16S ribosomal RNA". It matches the Rfam family "Bacterial small subunit ribosomal RNA", at positions 509 to 807 of the family's 1533-position model. The record is from RNAcentral.
CAGUCGCCGCGGUAAUACGAAGGGUGCAAGCGUUAAUCGGAUUUACUGGGCGUAAAGGGCGUGUAGGCGGCCUGGGGCGUCCCAUGUGAAAGGCCACGGCUCAACCGUGGAGGAGCGUGGGAUACGCUCAGGCUAGAGGGUGGGAGAGGGUGGUGGAAUUCCCGGAGUAGCGGUGAAAUGCGCAGAUACCGGGAGGAACGCCGAUGGCGAAGGCAGCCACCUGGUCCACUUCUGACGCUGAGGCGCGAAAGCGUGGGGAGCAAACCGGAUUAGAGACCCCAGUAGUCCCUGUCUCUUAUAC